Molecule: ribosomal RNA, 364 nt
Filed under: uncultured Microcoleus sp.
Lineage: Bacteria; Bacillati; Cyanobacteriota; Cyanophyceae; Oscillatoriales; Microcoleaceae
Description: bacterial SSU rRNA
Rfam family: Bacterial small subunit ribosomal RNA
Source: RNAcentral
GGCUCUUGGGUUGUAAACCCCUUUUCUCUGGGAAGAAAGUUGUGAAAGCAACCUGACGGUACCAGAGGAAUCAGCAUCGGCUAACUCCGUGCCAGCAGCCGCGGUAAGACGGAGGAUGCAAGCGUUAUCCGGAAUGAUUGGGCGUAAAGCGUCCGCAGGUGGCAGUUCAAGUCUGCUGUCAAAGACCGGGGCUUAACUUCGGAAAGGCAGUGGAAACUGAACAGCUAGAGUAUGGUAGGGGCAGAGGGAAUUCCUGGUGUAGCGGUGAAAUGCGUAGAGAUCAGGAAGAACAUCGGUGGCGAAGGCGCUCUGCUGGACCAUAACUGACACUCAGGGACGAAAGCUAGGGGAGCGAAAGGGAUUA